AUAGGUCUUAUAUAAAUUAGUUAAUAGCAGUAAGUUUAUCUGUGGCCUUUGCUUUAAUCAAAACCGAUGUCAAAAACGAAAAACACAAAAAUUUGAUUAAAGAGAGCAUUUCCUAAAAAGUUGCGCCGCGUGAUUGGAUUUGCUUCGUAGUAAUAUGGGGUGGAUCCUCUUAAGUGUGAUUUGCACGUAAACUCGUGUAAUUUACACAUGAAAGUUUAUACAGCA
This 225-nucleotide long non-coding RNA is filed under the name Cicer arietinum (chickpea). Its description in RNAcentral is "long non-coding RNA (CARI_LNC001762)". The record is from RNAcentral. Lineage: Eukaryota; Viridiplantae; Streptophyta; Magnoliopsida; Fabales; Fabaceae.